This 478-nucleotide ribosomal RNA is filed under the name uncultured bacterium. RNAcentral describes it as "partial 16S ribosomal RNA". It matches the Rfam family "Bacterial small subunit ribosomal RNA", at positions 28 to 523 of the family's 1533-position model. The record is from RNAcentral.
GACGAACGCUGGCGGCGUGCUUAACACAUGCAAGUCGAACGGUAAGGCCCUUCGGGGUACACGAGUGGCGAACGGGUGAGUAACACGUGGGUGAUCUGCCCUGCACUUCGGGAUAAGCCUGGGAAACUGGGUCUAAUACCGGAUAGGACUCCGGACUGCAUGGUCUGGGGUGGAAAGCUUUUGCGGUGUGGGAUGGGCCCGCGGCCUAUCAGCUUGUUGGUGGGGUGAUGGCCUACCAAGGCGACGCCGGGUAGCCGGCCUGAGAGGGUGACCGGCCACACUGGGACUGAGAUACGGCCCAGACUCCUACGGGAGGCAGCAGUGGGGAAUAUUGCACAAUGGGCGCAAGCCUGAUGCAGCGACGCCGCGUGAGGGAUGACGGCCUUCGGGUUGUAAACCUCUUUCAGCAUCGACGAAGCGAAAGUGACGGUAGGUGCAGAAGAAGGACCGGCCAACUACGCGCCAGCAGCCGCCGCAG